UGCUAAGUCGACAUGAAUCGAUGCUAGUCGAACUAUUUAUGCUAUAUUUGGAAGAAGUUUGAGUAACGAAAGGGGAUUUUAGGUUUUUUUUAUAUGGGAGCUAAUGAUUAGUGUGGCGUUUAACUAUAGGCCACAUCAGUAUAUUGUUUUAAGCUCUUGUUUAUAACUUCCCCGUUAGCGGGGUUCAGUUAGCAUCUUGAAAGCUGGAUUAGGUGUUUACACUUUCCUGAGCUGCGUGUUUGAUUAAAAUGAGUAAUCAGCAGCUCAUGUAGCACUUGUAGAAGUCUGAGGAGAUGAUUCAGCAGUUAGAAUUAGGUGUGAUUGAUCAGGAACGUAUCCAAAACCUUACGUUUCCAUUAGCACUGAAAGACAUAUUCUGCUAACCUGGGUGGGCCACGUGUACAGAUUACAGUCUGAGUUUGUGGUCUUACCUACGUGAAAACUCCAUAUUAAAAUAAAAGUAAUGAUAAUCAGCUCGUGCAAAAAUCUGUGAAGGCUGGGGAGACUUGUUUAGCUUGUGAUCACUAAUUUUUGGGCUUUGUUUUUUACAGUCAUCAGUCCAAAUAUGAAGCAUCAACAUCUACACCAUUGAAAAGCCAACUGUGUAUUUCUCCAACACCAGUGCCAGCUCUGUCUAGCAUUCAUGGAGAAUCAUCUGAAAGGGAUGAUAAUUUGGAGGAGGUGAUGGAACAAGGUGAAACUAAAAAAGAAGGAUCUUCACAAAUGUUAUCUUGUGUGGGAAUUGAAGCAAACAUUGACGAGGAAGAGUUCAACAAUAUUCAAAACUCUGUGUAAGUAUUCAGAUGUUAAUAAAAUGUGUCUAAUU
Molecule: long non-coding RNA, 826 nt
Organism: Nothobranchius furzeri (turquoise killifish)
Lineage: Eukaryota; Metazoa; Chordata; Actinopteri; Cyprinodontiformes; Nothobranchiidae
Source: RefSeq, a predicted model, not a curated record